UCCAAAAAAGCACCGGUCUGCAGAUGUCUGCAAGAGAAUCAACAAACCCUCCUUCUUCUACGGCAGGGCAGGGGACGUAUUCACUGGGAGCUUUAGGAUAAUGCAUUUGUGGAGACUGGAACUGAAAAUGUUAAUACUGUUGUAAGGUUUUUUCCUCUGUGGACUGAGAAAGCAAGGCCCUUUCCAGGACACAAGAGAUUUGGACUGGACUUUUGUAAAAUAAGAAAUGUACCAAUUUCAACAAAACCUUUUCAGUUUCAGGAAGGAUCUUCUCGUUAAAAAUGAACAAACCUUAGAACACCCAACUGGCCAGUGGAUGUGUAUAAAGUAAGAGAGCGCAAAGACUUCUGGAAAAGCACACCCCACUAACCCAGCUGCACUGAAGACUAGGCUGGCAGCAGGUCCAUCCAUGCAGCGGCCACUGACUAUCAAAGCCAAUUGUUACCAAAGUGACAACGAAGAGAUCAGUCCUGCAUCUGCUGAAGCCAAUAGGAGGAAACAGAAAAUAAAUAAAUAAAUAAAUAAUAAAUAAUAAAUAAAUAA
This is a long non-coding RNA of Cygnus olor (mute swan), 543 nucleotides long. RefSeq lists it as uncharacterized. The record is from RefSeq and is a predicted model, not a curated record. Lineage: Eukaryota; Metazoa; Chordata; Aves; Anseriformes; Anatidae. The transcript is spliced from 5 exons.